GUGCUGGCUUUGACAGCACAUAUACUAAAAUUGGAUUAAUACAGAGGUUAACAUGGCCCCUGCACAAGGAUGAUACGAAAAUUUGUGAAGCGUUCCACAUUUUU
This 104-nucleotide small nuclear RNA is filed under the name Moschus moschiferus (Siberian musk deer). Lineage: Eukaryota; Metazoa; Chordata; Mammalia; Artiodactyla; Moschidae. The record is from RNAcentral.